Small nuclear RNA from Mustela putorius furo (domestic ferret), 107 nucleotides. The record is from Ensembl. Lineage: Eukaryota; Metazoa; Chordata; Mammalia; Carnivora; Mustelidae.
GUGCUCACUUAGGCAACACAUAUACUAAAACUGGAAUGGUACAGAGAAGAUUAGCAUGGCCCUUGAGCAAGGAUGACAUGCAGGUCUGUGAAGUGUUCUACAAAAAG